AUACUUGCCUGGCAGGGGAGACACCGUGACCACGAAGGUGGUUUUCCCAGGGCAAGGCUUCUCCAUGGAUGUGCUGACCCCUCGAUUUCCCCAAAUGUGGGAAGCUCAGCUGCAUAAUUUGUGGUAAUGGGGACUGCUUUCACGCUCUCCCCUG
Molecule: small nuclear RNA, 154 nt
Organism: Camelus ferus (Wild Bactrian camel)
Lineage: Eukaryota; Metazoa; Chordata; Mammalia; Artiodactyla; Camelidae
Rfam family: U1 spliceosomal RNA
About the family: U1 is a small nuclear RNA (snRNA) component of the spliceosome (involved in pre-mRNA splicing). Its 5' end forms complementary base pairs with the 5' splice junction, thus defining the 5' donor site of an intron. There are significant differences in sequence and secondary structure between metazoan and yeast U1 snRNAs, the latter being much longer (568 nucleotides as compared to 164 nucleotides in human).
Source: Rfam